RNAcentral lists this unclassified non-coding RNA (228 nucleotides) under Hevea brasiliensis (rubber tree). Lineage: Eukaryota; Viridiplantae; Streptophyta; Magnoliopsida; Malpighiales; Euphorbiaceae. The record is from RNAcentral.
AAAAAAAACAGCCUUUAUUUUACCCGCUCUCCUUCACCAUUUAUACACUCGCUCAGCUCAGCUUCUCUGUAUCCAAAGUCUCAAAACCAAAACGCCAACCCCCUCUCUCUCCCUCUCUAUCCCCUUAUAUACAAAAUCUUGCUGUUUCUCUUUGCUGAGGGUCGACCAUGGUGAAGGACGUGACAGAACAAGGAUCAUUCCCAGCGAAGGACUACCAUGACCCACCAC